UACGAAGGGGGCUAGCGUUGCUCGGAAUCACUGGGCGUAAAGCGCACGUAGGCGGGUCGUUAAGUCGGGGGUGAAAUCCUGGAGCUCAACUCCAGAACUGCCUUCGAUACUGGCGAUCUUGAGUCUGGGAGAGGUGAGUGGAACUCCGAGUGUAGAGGUGAAAUUCGUAGAUAUUCGGAAGAACACCAGUGGCGAAGGCGGCUCACUGGCCCGGUACUGACGCUGAUGUGCGAAAGCGUGGGGAGCAAACAGG
This 253-nucleotide ribosomal RNA is filed under the name uncultured bacterium. RNAcentral describes it as "partial 16S ribosomal RNA". It matches the Rfam family "Bacterial small subunit ribosomal RNA", at positions 524 to 776 of the family's 1533-position model. The record is from RNAcentral.